Long non-coding RNA from Rhinopithecus bieti (black snub-nosed monkey), 2939 nucleotides. Lineage: Eukaryota; Metazoa; Chordata; Mammalia; Primates; Cercopithecidae. The record is from Ensembl.
CUGUGUCCUCACCUGACCCAGAGUUGCUGCCCCAUCUCACUUUCUAGAUGCCAAACCCUCAGGGGCUGCCUACCCCGUCUGCGAGUGGCGCUAUGAUGCCUGUGCCAGUUCCUGCUUCCAAACCUGCCGGGAUCCAUGGGCAGCCAGCUGCCGGGACGUACCCAGAAGGCUGUGUCCCUGUGUGUCCUGCCCCCAAGGUCCUGGAUGAAGUCACACAGAGAUGUGUCUACUUGGAGGACUGUGUGGAGCCAGCAGUUUGGGUUCCCACAGAGACCCUUGGCAAUGAGACCCUCCCUCCCAGUCAAGGGCUGCCCACUCCCAGUGAUGAGGAGCCACAGCUGUCACAGGAAAGCCCCAGGAGCCCCACCCACAGGCCAGCCCUCGCCCCAGCUGCCCCACUCCCCACAGUCCUGAACCCACCAAUGGCAGCCACUGAAGAGCCAGUGAUGUCUCCAGGCCCCACCCAGUCCACCCUGCAGCAGCCACUGGGGCUCACUGCAUCUCAACUCCCUGCCCGCCCCACAGAGGCCCCAGCCAGCAAGGGAGUGACUGCCAGCCUCCUGGCCGUCCCCCAUACACCAGAGUCCUCAUCCCUCCCUGUUGCACUGCAGACACCCACACCUAGCAUGGUGUCGGGUGCCGUGGAAACAACAAGGGUGACUGUGAUCUUUGCAGGAAGCCCCAACAUCACAGUCUCCUCCCGGUCGCCCCCUGCCCCUCGCUUCCCGCUCAUGACCAAGGCUAUGACAGUCCGAGGCCAUGGCUCCUUGCCUGUCAGGACGACACCCCUACAGCCCUCCUUGACAGCAAGUCCCUCCUCCAGACCUGUGGCUUCCCCUGGAGCCAUCUCCAGGUCCCCCACCUCCUCGGGAUCCCACAAGGCUGUGCUGACACCUGCAGUAACUAAGGUCAUAAGCAGGACAGGGGUCCCCCAGCCCACCCAGGCCCAGAGUGCUUCAAGUCCCAGCACCCCUCUAACUGUGGCUAGAACAGCAGCAGAACAGGUUCCUGUCAGUCCCCUCACAACCAGGAGCGUGGAGAUGGUGCUGUCCACAGAGAAGGGUGAAGCCGGGCACAGCCAGCCCAUGGGCUCGCCUGCCUCCCCACAGCCACACCCACUCCCCACUGCACCACCCCGCACAGCCCAGCAUACCACCACGGCCACCAAGUCUCCAGCUCUGCCCCCAGAGACCCCAACUGCCGCCAGCCUGUCGACAGCUGCUCAUGGGCUGGGAGCCACACCCUUCGUGUCCCUAGAGUCAAUUGGUCCAUCCCAGUUCCUCUCUGGCCUGCCUCCCGACACCAGCCUGCCCCUGGCCAAGGUGGGCACAUCUGCCCCAGUGGCCACCCCUGGCCCCAAAGCCUCUGUCAUCACCACUCCACUCCAGUCACAGGCCAUGACUCUGCCUGCUCAGACACUUAGCCCAGCACCGCCUUUCACUCCCAAAGCAAUGACCCAGGCGCACCCACCUGCCCACAUAGCACCCUCGGCAGCGGGCACAGCUCCAGGCUUGCUGCUGGGAGCCACAUUGCCAACCUCUGGAGUCCUGCCUGUGACUGAGGGCAUGGCCUCCACGGUAUCUGUUGUCUCACGAAAGAGCACCACAGGGAAGGUGGCCAUCCUAUCCAAGCAAGUGUCUCUGCCCACCCCCAUCUAUGGCUCUGCCCAGGGUGGGCCCACAGAGCUCAUGCCUGCCACGAGCCACCCUCUCACCCCCUUGGUGACUGAGCCCAAGGGAGCCCAGGCAGGCACAGCUCUGCCAGUGCCCACAUCCUAUCCCCUCAGCCGCGUCUCAGCCAGGACGGCCCCCCAAGACAGCGCGCUGGUUCUGUUGCCUCAGCUGGCUGAGGCCCAUGGAACCACGGCAGGGGCACACCUCGCAGCAGAGCCCGUGGAUGAGGCCAUCACAGAACCAUCUGGGCGCUCAGCCCCAGCCCUGAGCAUCGUAGAGGGUUUGGCGGAGGCUUUGGCAACCACCACUGAGGCCAAUACAUCCACCACCUGUGUCCCAAUCGCCGAGCAGGACUGCGUCCGCCACAUCUGCCUGGAGGGCCAGCUGAUCCGCGUGAAUCAGUCCCAGCACUGUCCCCAGGGCGCUGCUCCCCUCGCUGUGGGAUCCUGGGCCUCGCCGUGAGGGUGGGUGGGGACCGCUGCUGCCCACUCUGGGAGUGUGCCUGUGAGUCAUGGGAUCAGUGGAGCCUCCUGCAUCCUCCCUGUAUCCUUACCCCAGCAUGACCGCCACCCCUGAUCUGUGUGCCCCACACUCCCCUCCUGUGGGACCCCGACCUGGCAGAUUUCCUACGCUUGCGACCUCUGAUCUGUGUGAUGCCUGGUCUGAGCCACCCUCCAGACUCCAGGCCUCUGCAUCCAUCCAGGAAGAGGGCCGGGAACCUGCCCCAUCUUCCUCGGCAGCCUUGGUCUUGGAGGCAUCCACUGAUUCUUCUUGUGCCCUGUCCCUCCCCAGGCCGGUGCUCAAUCUUCCCUGACCUGAGCUUUGUGACCUUCGAUGGGAGCCACGUAGCUCUGUUCAAGGAGGCCAUCUACAUCCUCAGCCAGAGCCCAGAUGAAAUGGUCACCGUCCAUGUACUGGACUGCAAAAGUGCCAACCUGGUGCCUGCCCCAUACCCUCCUCCCUGCUGGGGACUAGGAACUGGACUAGGAUAAGAGGGGAGAUGGAGCAGUGAGCCAGGGUGCCAGAGGCAAAGAUAGAUGUGGAAGCCCCCCUGAGCUCCCUCUGUCUCCAGGAAUGGGCAGGGUCUCCCAGGUGACGGCUCCCUGAGAGGCUGGGGAAUAAUUGAGUGGAGUGUGCUGCCUCCUGGCCCCAGCCUGUUCCAUUCCCAGUUUGUGCCAGCUUCCUGCCAUGUAGGAGGGAUGGCAUGGAAGUGCAGAGAAACUGGGAUGUCACUCCAAUGGUGUGGACCGAGGUCGUGGGUGCUGG